CAUUAGGUGAAGGCAGCAGGCAACUGUGUCCUAAAUUUCCAACUCUCUCCUGCUACUACUGAGGAGAGUUUGUCUGACCUGCCAGCAGUGCUUAUAGUUAUGUAAUAUGGAAUGAAGGGGAAUUCUAGUGACACCUGACCUCCACCCCCUCUGCGGUCCCACACCACAGGAAGAAUUGGAGGUGACACAGAUGAGCUGACACAGGAAUGCCCCAAGAAUGGCAAAGCCUGUACACAAUAGUGCUCAUUGAUCUUUUCUCACUGUACCAACAAAGACUCAAAGGAAUGAUGUAGGAAGCUACUACCAUACAGAUGUUUUCAGAAAAUAAAAGGUUAUGCCUCUGCUUUAAAUAACUGUAUAGAAGAAUAUUUUCCAUUUUUCUUCAGACUGCUGUAAAAAUACCUUAAACCUGAAUUAGAAAAUUGCCCAUGGGAACAAAGCAAAAAGGGUUCUCAUGUGGCAGAUGUUGGCUAUGGAGUACACCUAUGUCUUUAAAAAUGCUUUGUUCAAAUGGUACAGGUAUAGGAUCUGUUAUCUAGAAUGCUCAGGACCUGGAGUUUUCUGGAUAAGGGAUGUUUCUGCUGAUUUGCAUCACAAUACUUCUUUAAAACUUC
Long non-coding RNA from Xenopus tropicalis (tropical clawed frog), 614 nucleotides. RefSeq lists it as uncharacterized. Lineage: Eukaryota; Metazoa; Chordata; Amphibia; Anura; Pipidae. The record is from RefSeq and is a predicted model, not a curated record. The transcript has 3 exons.